This 676-nucleotide ribosomal RNA is filed under the name uncultured bacterium. RNAcentral describes it as "bacterial SSU rRNA". It matches the Rfam family "Bacterial small subunit ribosomal RNA", at positions 139 to 813 of the family's 1533-position model. The record is from RNAcentral.
GGGGACAACCCGCCGAAAGGCGGGCUAAACCCGCGUACAUGCCACCGGGGCAUCCCGGAGGCAGGAAAGGCUUCGGCCGGACAGGGAUGGGCAUGCGGCGCAUUAGGCAGUAGGCGGGGUAACGGCCCACCUAACCGACGAUGCGUAGGGGUUCUGAGAGGAAGGUCCCCCACACUGGUACUGAGACACGGACCAGACUCCUACGGGAGGCAGCAGUGAGGAAUAUUGGUCAAUGGUCGGGAGACUGAACCAGCCAAGCCGCGUGAGGGAUGAAGGUACAGAGUAUCGUAAACCUCUUUUGUCAGGGAACAAAGGCGGGGACGUGUCCCCGGAUGAGUGUACCUGAAGAAAAAGCAUCGGCUAACUCCGUGCCAGCAGCCGCGGUAAUACGGAGGAUGCGAGCGUUAUCCGGAUUUAUUGGGUUUAAAGGGUGCGCAGGCGGUCUGUUAAGUCAGCGGUCAAAGCCCGGGGCUCAACCCCGGCCCGCCGUUGAAACUGGCAGUCUCGAGUUGGAGAGAAGUAUGCGGAAUGCGCGGUGUAGCGGUGAAAUGCAUAGAUAUCGCGCAGAACUCCGAUUGCGAAGGCAGCAUGCCGGCUCCACACUGACGCUGAGGCACGAAAGCGUGGGUAUCGAACAGGAUUAGAUACCCUGGUAGUCCACGCAGUAAACGAUGAA